This 253-nucleotide ribosomal RNA is filed under the name uncultured bacterium. RNAcentral's name for it is "partial 16S ribosomal RNA". It matches the Rfam family "Bacterial small subunit ribosomal RNA", at positions 524 to 776 of the family's 1533-position model. The record is from RNAcentral.
UACAGAGGUCUCAAGCGUUGUUCGGAUUCAUUGGGCGUAAAGGGUGCGUAGGCGGCGCGGUAAGUCGGGUGUGAAAUCUCGGAGCUUAACUCCGAAACUGCAUUCGAUACUGCCGUGCUUGAGGACUAGAGAGGAGACUGGAAUUUACGGUGUAGCGGUGAAAUGCGUAGAUAUCGUAAGGAAGACCAGUGGCGAAGGCGGGUCUCUGGACAGUUACUGACACUGAGGCACGAAGGCCAGGGGAGCAAACGGG